GGGGAAUUUUCCGCAAUGGGCGAAAGCCUGACGGAGCAAUACCGCGUGAGGGAGGAAGGCUCUUGGGUUGUAAACCUCUUUUCUCAGGGAAGAACACAAUGACGGUACCUGAGGAAUAAGCAUCGGCUAACUCCGUGCCAGCAGCCGCGGUAAUACGGAGGAUGCAAGCGUUAUCCGGAAUGAUUGGGCGUAAAGCGUUCGUAGGUGGUUUUUCAAGUCUGCUGUUAAAGCGCAGGGCUUAACUCUGUAACGGCGGUGGAAACUGAAAAGCUAGAGUGCGGUAGGGGUAGAGGGAAUUCCCGGUGUAGCGGUGAAAUGCGUAGAGAUCGGGAAGAACACCAGCAGCGAAAGCGCUCUACUGGGCCUGCACUGACACUGAGGGACGAAAGCUAGGGGAGCGAAUGGGAUUAGAUACCCCAGUAGUCCUAGCCGUAAACGAUGGAUACUAGGUGUUGCCUGUAUCGACCCGGGCAGUGCCGUAGCUAACGCGUUAAGUAUCCCGCCUGGGGAGUACGCGCGCAAGCGUGAAACUCAAAGGAAUUGACGGGGGCCCGCACAAGCGGUGGAGUAUGUGGUUUAAUUCGAUGCAACGCGAAGAACCUUACCAGGGCUUGACAUGUCGCGAACCUCAGGGAAACUUGAGGGUGCCUUCGGGAGCGCGAACACAGGUGGUGCAUGGCUGUCGUCAGCUCGUGUCGUGAGAUGUUGGGUUAAGUCCCGCAACGAGCGCAACCCUCGUCCUAAGUUGCCAGCAUUAAGUUGGGCACUCUGAGGAGACUGCCGGUGACAAACCGGAGGAAGGUGGGGAUGACGUCAAGUCAGCAUGCCCCUUACGUCCUGGGCUACACACGUACUACAAUGCUACGGACAAAGGGCAGCCAGACAGCAAUGUCGAGCAAAUCCCAUAAACCGUGGCACAGUUCAGAUUGCAGGCUGCAACUCGCCUGCAUGAAGGUGGAAUCGCUAGUAAUCGCAGGUCAGCAUACUGCGGUGAAUCCGUUCCCGGGCCUUGUACACACCGCCCGUCACACCAUGGAAGCUGGCUUAGCCCGAAGUCGUUACCCUAACCCGCAAGGGAGGGGGACGCCGAAGGCAGGGCUGGUGACUGGGGUGAAGUCGUAACAAGGUAACC
This 1132-nucleotide ribosomal RNA is filed under the name Crinalium sp. UMPCCC 1112. Its description in RNAcentral is "bacterial SSU rRNA". It matches the Rfam family "Bacterial small subunit ribosomal RNA", at positions 356 to 1501 of the family's 1533-position model. Lineage: Bacteria; Bacillati; Cyanobacteriota; Cyanophyceae; Gomontiellales; Gomontiellaceae. The record is from RNAcentral.